CCUACGGGUGGCAGCAGUGGGGAAUAUUGCACAAUGGGGGCAACCCUGAUGCAGCGACGCCGCGUGAAUGAAGAAGUAUUUCGGUAUGUAAAGCACUGUCAGCAGGGAAGAAAGUGACGGUACCUGACCAAGAAGCCCCGGCUAACUACGUGCCAGCAGCCGCGGUAAUACGUAGGGGGCAAGCGUUAUCCGGAUUUACUGGGUGUAAAGGGAGCGUGGACGGACGGGCAAGUCUGGAGUGAAAGGCGGGGGCUCAACCUCCGGACUGCUCUGGAAACUGGCAGGCUGGAGUGCAGGAGAGGUAAGUGGAAUUCCUAGUGUAGCGGUGAAAUGCGUAGAUAUGAGGAGGAACACCAGUGGCGAAGGCGGCUCACUGGACUGUAACUGACGUUGAGGCUCGAAAGCGUGGGGAGCAAACAGGAUUAGAUACCCGGGUAGUC
Molecule: ribosomal RNA, 440 nt
Filed under: uncultured bacterium
Lineage: Bacteria
Description: partial 16S ribosomal RNA
Rfam family: Bacterial small subunit ribosomal RNA
Source: RNAcentral